This is a small RNA of 197 nucleotides. It matches the Rfam family "Rhizobiales sRNA Atu_C9".
GGUUAACGCGAGGAGACAGACAUGGGACUUACGCAAUCCUUGAAUGUUCUGUUGGUCAGUGCAGCGUUUGCUUUCGUCCUGUCCAUGCUCUUUAUCUGAGCCGGAUCACGAAGGCGUAACGACUGAUAAUGCCUAAACUCCUGAAGAACUGAUCAUCCGCCAACGAAAAAGCGCAUGUCCCGCCCGACAUGCGCUUU